CCUACGGGGAGCAGCAGUGGGGCAUAUUGGGCAAUGGGCGCAAGCCUGACCCAGCAAUGCCGCGUGAAGGAAGAAGGCUUUCGGGUUGUAAACUUCUUUGACAGGGGAAGAGCAGAAGACGGUACCCUGAAAACAAGCCACGGCUAACUACGUGCCAGCAGCCGCGGUAAUAGGUAGGUGGCAAGCGUUGUCCGGAUUUACUGGGUGUAAAGGGCGUGUAGCCGGGAAGGCAAGUCAGAUGUUAAAUCUGGAGGCUCAACCUCCAAAUUGCAUUUGAAACUGUUUUUCUUGAGUACUGGAGAGGCAGACGGAAUUCCUUGUGUAGCGGUGAAAUGCGUAGAUAUAAGGAGGAACACCAGUGGCGAAGGUGGUCUGCUGGACAGCAACUGACGGUGAGGCGCGAAAGCGUGGGGAGCAAACAGGAUUAGAUACCCCAGUAGUC
Molecule: ribosomal RNA, 442 nt
Filed under: uncultured bacterium
Lineage: Bacteria
Description: partial 16S ribosomal RNA
Rfam family: Bacterial small subunit ribosomal RNA
Source: RNAcentral